CGGAGUUCCGCCUCUGUGAGGAAGAGGCCGUGGAAACCGUACGGCACCCGCCGGGGGAGGCACACCUCGGUGACCACCUCCAGGUCCGGAGACCUAGCGUCCAUCACGACGAAGCUCGAUUCUCCCGUGAUCUCAUCGUGCAGGUACGUCACCAGGUACCCGUCGUCCUCCUCCUCGCCCUCGUCCGGUGCUGGCACGAAGAUGGGCUCGCCACCGAACCUUCGGGGGCUGUACAUCUGGGAGGCGACCACACAGUCACCACCCUUCUUCUCCAUGUCCAGCUUCACCACUCCGGCCACCUUCGGCUGCAGGUCCCCAGCUCCGAGGUAGGCGUAGCGGUUGCGGCGGCCCUGGUAGCUCGGGUUGAUCACCCCCAAGUCGAGGUUCUUUACGGAAAGCGGAAACCGGG
RNAcentral lists this long non-coding RNA (409 nucleotides) under Spirodela polyrhiza (greater duckweed). Its description in RNAcentral is "long non-coding RNA (SPOL_LNC002509)". The record is from RNAcentral. Lineage: Eukaryota; Viridiplantae; Streptophyta; Magnoliopsida; Alismatales; Araceae.